This is a long non-coding RNA of Microtus oregoni (creeping vole), 556 nucleotides long. RefSeq lists it as uncharacterized. The record is from RefSeq and is a predicted model, not a curated record. The transcript has 3 exons. Lineage: Eukaryota; Metazoa; Chordata; Mammalia; Rodentia; Cricetidae.
CUCUGGAAGAGACAGUGACUUCAGCACAUGCACAGCCCCCUGGACACACGGAUUCCAGUCCCUGUUUCAGAAGCCAUGGCAGCUAAGAUCGCCUUUCUAGGCAGAAAUGAUUCUUGAGAAAAGAUGUCUUUUUCUUCCACCGAAUCUCAGCACCAGCUCACCUGCCACCCUCCACCGUUACGCUCUCUCUGCCUACUCCGCUGAAUUCUGUGUGUGUGCACAUUUACCUCUGUCCUCACCACAGCGUCUGUCCUGAGGGGCCCAGCCAGGGAUUUCUCACUGAACCUAGAGCUCACUGCUUCAGCCAGGCUGGAGAGCCAACGAGCCCCAGGAAUUAUUUCCACCUUCCCAGACAUCGGUAUGCACCACCAUAGCUGACUUUUCUGUGGUGACAAGAAUCUGAGCUGAGGCUCUCACGCUUUGUCUACUGAGCUCUCACCGGCACCAGACUUUCAGACUUGUGAGCUUCCCGUUCUCUUUCUCAACAUAACCUGCCUGAAAAGUCACCUGAGGUCUAAGUUAUACUGCAGUCUCCCUAGUGGAAGACUUCACCUUC